Non-coding RNA from Macaca mulatta (Rhesus monkey), 1281 nucleotides. Lineage: Eukaryota; Metazoa; Chordata; Mammalia; Primates; Cercopithecidae. The record is from RefSeq and is a predicted model, not a curated record.
AAAAGCACAGAUCCCCGCCUCGGCAGCCACGAGACACCUGCAUCUGCCAACAAGACUGGAAGCAGGUGAGGCACACAGAGGGGGAGGCCCACAGCUGCGUGGGAGGAGGGGUGGUCUGAGGGACAUGGGAUGCCGGGAAUUAGGCUGGUUUGCAGGUCGGCGCAUGGACAUUUUCCCAGGAACGGACAGAGACGGCGAAGUUUGACGGUCUGGAAAGCAGAGAUCAGCGGGGCUGACUGCUUGGGAGCACCAAGUAUCCGGACAGCGCCUCUCGGGGGUUCCAAGGAGAGAACCGCGAUCUGUUUCAGCACCGGGGCUCAGGACAGUUCCCAGAAGGCUCCGUUUCGGCGCCAGAACCCUGGACAGCUCCCCCAGUAGAGACGGGGUUUCACCAUGUUGGCCAGGCUGGUCUCAAACUCUUGACCUCGUGAUCCGCCCACCUCAGCCUCCCAAAGUGCUGGGAUUAUAGGUGUGAGUCACCGCACCUGACCCAAGUCCGGAACUUUCAACAGGACAUGGGUGUUACUGUGCCCAGGUGACAUUUGGGGAACCCAAGGCCCCGAAAAAGGCAGAAAAAUAACCCACGCAGGGACUCUCAGCCCACAAGUGAAGCUGAGAACCGGGAAUGGAAAACAGGGAGGCAGCACAGAGGCAGGAAGCCCAGGUGUCACAGCUUGGCUCAGGUGUGAUGGCUCACACUUGUAAUCCCAGCACUUUGGGAGGCCAAGGUGGGAGAAUAGCUUGAGCUCAGGAGUUCGAGACCAGCCUGGGCAACAUAGCAAGACCUCAUCUCAAUAAAAAAAUAAAUAAUAAAUAAAAAAGACUCACCCCCAAUUCUCUGCAACACCCUAAUCGAGUGACAAACUCCACAUGGUACCUGUUCUCCAGCCUCAGGGCUUUUGCCUUUGCUGUUCCUGCAGCUUGGACUCCCCCCACCUCCACCCAGAGCUCCCCACAACUGACCCUGCCUUCUUCUGCAAGCUCCAUUUCAUCAAAGGAAAUGAUCCUUAUUACCUCACCAUUGCCCACGUGAAGUCUGUAUUGACAUUCUCAUAGACCUAGGAUAUUGUGUCUACAGCACAUAGUCCAGUUAUUUUCAUGUUAUCUACUGACAGGUCUAUUUGUCUCCCUGUUACACUGUGAGCUCCGUGAGGACAGAAACAAUGUUUGUAUUUUCACUGCUGUAUCCCCAGUGCCUGGUCCAGGGCCCGGCACACAGCAGGCGUACAAUAAGCAUGUGUUGAAUCAAUAAAGGCAUCAAAGAAUAAACCAAUACAUCAA